Molecule: transfer RNA, 65 nt
Filed under: Potamanthellus edmundsi
Lineage: Eukaryota; Metazoa; Arthropoda; Insecta; Ephemeroptera; Neoephemeridae
Description: tRNA-Ser
Source: RNAcentral
GAGGUGUAAUGUUUAAAUAGGGCUGCUAACCUUAUUUGUAGCAGUUAAAAUCUGUUAACAUCUCU